Molecule: long non-coding RNA, 1148 nt
Filed under: Sorghum bicolor (sorghum)
Lineage: Eukaryota; Viridiplantae; Streptophyta; Magnoliopsida; Poales; Poaceae
Description: long non-coding RNA (SBIC_LNC012284)
Source: RNAcentral
CCCUCAUCUAUGAGUUUGUGUGUGAAUGAGCCUCCUGAAGCAAUGUCGAGGUGAAGAGCAGCUUCCUUGUUUAGACCACGAUAAAAGUGGUAGUACAGUACCUGGUCAGGUAGGGAAAGGUUUGGACCGGAAUUGGUAAGGGUUGUGAACCAAGCCCAAGCUGCUCCUAAAGUUUCCUUCUCUCUUUGUUUGAAUGUAAGAAUUUCGAUUCUAAGGUCAGCGAUUCAAAAAAGUGGGAAGAAAGGGAGACAAAAGUUGUCCCGAAGUUCAUCCCAAUUUCCAUUAACGCCUCCAACAGAAUGAGCAUACCACUUUUUUGCUCUUCCCAAAAGGGAGAAUGGAAAUAAUUUCUAUUUAAGAGUUUCUUGUGUCAUGCCGGAAAUAGAUUGACAAGAGCACAACUGCUCGAAUUCUUUAAGGUGGGUGUAUGGAUCUUCAUCUACUUGCCCAGAGAAGAGUUGCUCCUGAAUCAUGGCUAUUAGAUCAGGGCCGAGGUCGUAGCCAUCUGUAAGAAUUGGGUGUGAUGAUGAUGGUGGCUCUAAUAACUCAACCUUUGGAGCAAAGAAUUUAUAGAUAGAAGUGAAAUCCAUGUGGUAUGGUGAAAAUGGUAAGGUGAGUGUGGUAAAAAAAGAAAAAGAAAAAGGAUACAUGAACGACUUGGUUCAAAACUAGCACAACUACCUUUCCCCGGCAACGGCGCCAGAAAGCUUGUUGGGUAUUUUAAACGCAAAUAGAAAAAUCCGCAAGCGCACGGAUGCCGAUGUAGCUUUCACCCGGGAGUAUUCCAGAGUAUCGAUUUUCCACAGGGAACGUGAGUGUACUAAUUAAGAUUCAAGAUCGCCCAAGGAUAACUAUAUAAUUAUUUUUGGUGGUAAGAGAUUUCUCUAGUUGAUCUAAGAAUCAAGAAUUACUUCAAAGAUUAUUUAUUUCAGGACAUCAGAGCACUAACCACAGAAAGAGAUGAGAAGGGGGCUAGGAAGCUCUGACUACGGUCCUAUAAACACCGAUCCGAACGAGGUGGAAUACGUCGACCGUUAGGGCUGUCACUACCCUAGGGCUACCACAACAAUCCGCAGGAUUGGGUGCAAUUCCAGGUAAUUGCAAGACUAAACUCCACGUCUAAUCUAUUAAAUACUACUCUAGCGUUG